ACACAUGCAAGUCGAACGAGAGAUGAAGAGCUUGCUCUUCAAAUCGAGUGGCGAACGGGUGAGUAACGCGUGAGGAACCUGCCUCAAAGAGGGGGACAACAGUUGGAAACGACUGCUAAUACCGCAUAAGCCCACGGCUCGGCAUCGAGCAGAGGGAAAAGGAGCAAUCCGCUUUGAGAUGGCCUCGCGUCCGAUUAGCUAGUUGGUGAGGUAAUGGCCCACCAAGGCGACGAUCGGUAGCCGGACUGAGAGGUUGAACGGCCACAUUGGGACUGAGACACGGCCCAGACUCCUACGGGAGGCAGCAGUGGGGAAUAUUGCACAAUGGGGGAAACCCUGAUGCAGCGACGCCGCGUGGAGGAAGAAGGUCUUCGGAUUGUAAACUCCUGUUGUUGAGGAAGAUAAUGACGGUACUCAACAAGGAAGUGACGGCUAACUACGUGCCAGCAGCCGCGGUAAAACGUAGGUCACAAGCGUUGUCCGGAAUUACUGGGUGUAAAGGGAGCGCAGGCGGGAGAACAAGUUGGAAGUGAAAUCCAUGGGCUCAACCCAUGAACUGCUUUCAAAACUGUUUUUCUUGAGUAGUGCAGAGGUAGGCGGAAUUCCCGGUGUAGCGGUGGAAUGCGUAGAUAUCGGGAGGAACACCAGUGGCGAAGGCGGCCUACUGGGCACCAACUGACGCUGAGGCUCGAAAGUGUGGGUAGCAAACAGGAUUAGAUACCCUGGUAGUCCACACCGUAAACGAUGAUUACUAGGUGUUGGAGGAUUGACCCCUUCAGUGCCGCAGUUAACACAAUAAGUAAUCCACCUGGGGAGUACGACCGCAAGGUUGAAACUCAAAGGAA
Molecule: ribosomal RNA, 845 nt
Filed under: uncultured bacterium
Lineage: Bacteria
Description: bacterial SSU rRNA
Rfam family: Bacterial small subunit ribosomal RNA
Source: RNAcentral